GGUUCCUUAACUUAAUAGGAUAAAGUGUACUUUUGAUAAGAGUAAGAUCAACGUUCAAGUCGCUGAGGAAUCA
RNAcentral lists this transfer RNA (73 nucleotides) under Arthonia kermesina. RNAcentral's name for it is "tRNA-Ile". It matches the Rfam family "tRNA". Rfam says of the family: Transfer RNA (tRNA) molecules are approximately 80 nucleotides in length. Their secondary structure includes four short double-helical elements and three loops (D, anti-codon, and T loops). Further hydrogen bonds mediate the characteristic L-shaped molecular structure. tRNAs have two regions of fundamental functional importance: the anti-codon, which is responsible for specific mRNA codon recognition, and the 3' end, to which the tRNAs corresponding amino acid is attached (by aminoacyl-tRNA synthetases). tRNAs cope with the degeneracy of the genetic code in two manners: having more than one tRNA (with a specific anti-codon) for a particular amino acid; and 'wobble' base-pairing, i.e. permitting non-standard base-pairing at the 3rd anti-codon position. Lineage: Eukaryota; Fungi; Ascomycota; Arthoniomycetes; Arthoniales; Arthoniaceae. The record is from RNAcentral.